UACGGGGGGGGCAAGCGUUGUUCGGAUUUACUGGGCGUAAAGCGCACGUAGGCGGAUUGUUAAGUCAGGGGUGAAAUCCUGGAGCUCAACUCCAGAACUGCCUUUGAUACUGGCAAUCUUGAGUCCGGAAGAGGUGAGUGGAACUCCUAGUGUAGAGGUGGAAUUCGUAGAUAUUAGGAAGAACACCAGUGGCGAAGGCGGCUCACUGGUCCGGUACUGACGCUGAGGUGCGAAAGCGUGGGGAGCAAACAGG
RNAcentral lists this ribosomal RNA (253 nucleotides) under uncultured bacterium. RNAcentral describes it as "partial 16S ribosomal RNA". It matches the Rfam family "Bacterial small subunit ribosomal RNA", at positions 524 to 776 of the family's 1533-position model. The record is from RNAcentral.